Long non-coding RNA from Cimex lectularius (bed bug), 731 nucleotides. RefSeq lists it as uncharacterized. NCBI's taxonomy places the organism in Eukaryota, Metazoa, Arthropoda, Insecta, Hemiptera, Cimicidae. The transcript is spliced from 3 exons. The record is from RefSeq and is a predicted model, not a curated record.
UAUAUUUUUAUCCAAAAAAUAGUUUCCCAGUUUUGAAGGUUUUCCUUCAUAUUUUCAAAAGAUAAUGGCACAGUAGAGAGCAUAAUUCCCCGGAGCCUUUGACACCUCAAAUAUUUCAGUUUAAUGCCUUUUUUUGUGUAACUGCAAUGACCUGAUUCUUUACUUAAUUAAAACUAUUGCCAUUUGAAUGGCCAAACAAAAAGAUACACAUUUCAGUUUUAAAGAAAAUAUAAAUUUAAAAUCCAGCUCUCAUAAAUCAAAUAAAAAUGUCUGUUUUAUUUAUUCACAGGCACCUUUAACAUCACAAUAGACUCCAUAUUUUCUUGUAAUAAUAAUUUUCUGGAUGUAUCGUUCAUUCGAAUAGUGGGACAAUGCAGAAUAGUGAUGACGAGUAGAAACAUUAUCACAUAUUUUGCAAUUAUCAAACAGAUUAACCUACAUGACUCAUCUCAGCAACUCUGCAACCAAAACUUUCAAAUGAUGCGGCGAAACACCUUCAUCCUACAUGUUGUUCCAGCAAAACUGAAAACAACCAAAAUGGGCGGAGCCAGAAAUGAAUCAUAACUAUUCUAAAUUUAAAAAAAAAAAAAUAUCCAUAAGUUUUCAUGAUGAACACGUUGGAUUAUGCAUAAUAAUGAUGAUGACGAGUAAAACAUUUUUUACAUAACUAUAAUCAUCAAAAAAGACUUCCUCGGACUUACAUAUAAGGACCAAGAAAUUAUUAUAUCGAU